AUGACGACACAUGCACUGCCGGCCGAAAUAUCGGGCCUACUAAGUGCACGCGAUGAGGGGAAAGCGCGCGAGUGGCCAAAACUUUGGCCCAAAAAAGACGCCGACGCGCCGGCCCGCCAUCAGAUAGCGCCGCUGCCCCCAAAUCCUUCGUGUCGUCCACCAGACACAGCCGCCGCCGUCCCCAACCAGACCACCGCCGCCGUCGCCCCCCACCAUCCAAGCCGGCGGCCGCCCUCCACCCAGACCGCUGCCGUCGUCCCCCCUCCCGAACCACUCCAGAGCGGCGCCACCGAGCCGCCACUCCAGACCGCACGCGGUGACCACCACCACCCAUCUCGGGAGCUUCAUCCCCGACCAGGCCUCCUCCCCACAAGCUUCAUCGAAGAACCAAGCGGGGACCCCUCCUCUACGUCCUUUACCCCAGGCAGGGGAGCGUCAACUCCUCGCGAGCAGCUCUGCCUUUCCCUGGAUAGCGCUGACUCCUCUACUUCUUGCUCCAACUGCGAGAAUUUGACAGGGUUCCUCAAAACAACGCUGGUCAUCAAGGAUCAUCCAAGCCUGAAAUUGUGGAACAACCAGGCUAUCUAUCCAGGACAGUAUGAUGGACAGAAUAAGCAUAUGGAUAAUCUGGAAAUUAGAUGGAGUGGUUUCCUUUAUGGUGAGUCGGAGGUGACAGGGGAGUGGAGUUUGUGGGGCGUGCGUUUCGGCCGGCCCCUGGUUGUUCGAUGCCAGAUCUGCGUGGGAUGCCGGGGUGGGUUACUAAAAUGCGGUCUCUACCUUGUGUUGGACAAACUUGAACUCCAGUUCUACCGGAGAUUAGUGAAGAAAAUCCAUAUCAUCCAGAGGGAGAAGGAACCAUCUAAGGCGCAUCAAAUCAAGCUAGAGGUCUCUGCAACCAUUUUAGUCGAGUAG
This 912-nucleotide ribosomal RNA is filed under the name Triticum aestivum (bread wheat). RNAcentral describes it as "partial small subunit ribosomal RNA". Lineage: Eukaryota; Viridiplantae; Streptophyta; Magnoliopsida; Poales; Poaceae. The record is from RNAcentral.